GAUGAACGCUAGCUACAGGCUUAACACAUGCAAGUCGAGGGGCAGCAUGGUCUUAGCUUGCUAAGGCCGAUGGCGACCGGCGCACGGGUGAGUAACACGUAUCCAACCUGCCGUCUACUCUUGGACAGCCUUCUGAAAGGAAGAUUAAUACAAGAUGGCAUCAUGAGUCCGCAUGUUCACAUGAUUAAAGGUAUUCCGGUAGACGAUGGGGAUGCGUUCCAUUAGAUAGUAGGCGGGGUAACGGCCCACCUAGUCUUCGAUGGAUAGGGGUUCUGAGAGGAAGGUCCCCCACAUUGGAACUGAGACACGGUCCAAACUCCUACGGGAGGCAGCAGUGAGGAAUAUUGGUCAAUGGGCGCAGGCCUGAACCAGCCAAGUAGCGUGAAGGAUGACUGCCCUAUGGGUUGUAAACUUCUUUUAUAAAGGAAUAAAGUCGGGUAUGUAUACCCGUUUGCAUGUACUUUAUGAAUAAGGAUCGGCUAACUCCGUG
This 490-nucleotide ribosomal RNA is filed under the name uncultured bacterium. RNAcentral describes it as "bacterial SSU rRNA". It matches the Rfam family "Bacterial small subunit ribosomal RNA", at positions 28 to 507 of the family's 1533-position model. The record is from RNAcentral.